This 331-nucleotide ribosomal RNA is filed under the name uncultured Pseudobutyrivibrio sp. RNAcentral's name for it is "partial 16S ribosomal RNA". Lineage: Bacteria; Bacillati; Bacillota; Clostridia; Lachnospirales; Lachnospiraceae. The record is from RNAcentral.
GGAGUUUGGGCCGUGUCUCAGUCCCAAUGUGGCCGUUCACUCUCUCAAGCCGGCUACUGAUCGUCGUCUUGGUGGGCCGUUACCCCACCAACUAGCUAAUCAGACGCGGGUCCAUCUUGUACCGAAAAUACUUUUCACACUGUACCAUGUGGUACCGUGCGCUUAUGCGGUAUUAGCAGUCGUUUCCAACUGUUGUCCCCCUGUACAAGGUAGGUUACCCACGCGUUACUCACCCGUCCGCCACUCAGUCAACAAAUCGUCACCCCCGAAGGGAUCGUGAUAAGUUGCUUCGUUCGACUUGCAUGUGUUAAGCACGCCGCCAGCGUUCAUC